GACGAUGAAGAUAUGAGUUGGUUCGCUCGUCGUGCGUAAAGAGCAUAUCAAUUGCCUUGCCGACAUUCCACUGUUUCUGAGUCCUCCUCCUCCCCCCAUUCUCUUUCCUUCUAUAUUUUCUUCUAUUCUUCCUUUUCUUAUGCACAUGAGUUGUUAUAUUAUUGUUGUUGACAUUUUCUUUCAUUUCACUAGUUGAGUUGCUAUGCCGUAAUUAUUGUUGAAAAAUUAUUUGAGUCUUGCAUGGGCGGAUUGAGAAUGAAUUUUUCUUUUUGUUUCUAUAUUUUUUAACCCAGUCCUCAACAAAUGGAAUACUCUUCAAUUUAGCUCCACUUAAAAUUUUCAAAACCUUCCUAUUCUGUUGAUGCACCCUUCCCUGUCUUUGAAUAUUAGUCUAUUCCCACGCUGUCCACUUCACAACCUGAAAGGGCAGUGAUGCCUGCUGUUGGGACUUGAGAUACGCUGGGAUCUGGUGCUCAUGUUUCAGAAUAAUCUUUCUUACCCUGGAAUUACUUCAUUCUUAAUACGCGCAAAUUCAAAUUUCUUUUUUUUCUUCUCGUUCUGAGAUAAAUUCAUACUUCCACCAACUGUACAUAUACUUUUAACUGCGUAAGAUUCUAAUGUCUGCAUACACCGAGAACCUAAUAAAAAAGUUCAAUCCCUUUAAAUGAUCCCUAACCCAUCUCAAGUCUCCCCCUUAUUGUUUCAUUCAUCAUGCAUGAUUCAUAGUGAUAAUUUUUCCCUCUUCUAACUUUUAAAUGCAGUUAGCGAUGGUGAAACAGUCCCAAAGAAGACAGAGAUUCACUGAACAACGGAUUCAUCGAGUUUGGUGAACCUCGGAUUGCUCUUGAGCAGUCAGCUUGAAUAUUUCAUUUGCUACCCAUGCAUUCGUAUCGUUGCUGGUAGUAUUAUACUCUUUCUGCUACAGAUAACAAAAGGCUAGCAGUAGUGGAAAACAAUUAAUUUGCAUCUCCCAUGUGGGAAGUGAAGUUGUGAAGAACUGCAAUCACCAUUGACUACUCGCCAUCCUAAAAGACUUAGAACUAGGAGGAUUGAAUCACAAUUCUAGUAGAAGAAAGUAUAUCAUUGCCUAAGAUGUAGUGAAACUGGUCAUGCUAGAAAGACUUGUCCUUGAACCCUGUGUGACUUUAUUGUCGAAAAUAGUCUUUUCUGGUUUAAUAUAGAGCCGCUUUUGCACAUGAAUGAAUCUCGAUAUGUAUUUUUGGAUUGAUUGAAGAAGUAGCUAUGAGAACCCAUUUAAUAUUUUUGGUGGUGAAUUGGAAUCUAUUUUGCAUAGUGAUGUGCUAGUUGAAAAAUGUCAUGAUGGUACUGGACAAUAAGCCAUCCUCAACACUGCACUGAAAUUGGCUGACAGUAAUGUAAAUGUAUGAAAAUCUUUAUCCACUUAUGAAUAGAUGUAUUUCUAUUAUUAA
This is a long non-coding RNA of Neltuma alba, 1430 nucleotides long. RefSeq lists it as uncharacterized. The record is from RefSeq and is a predicted model, not a curated record. Lineage: Eukaryota; Viridiplantae; Streptophyta; Magnoliopsida; Fabales; Fabaceae. The transcript is spliced from 2 exons.